UUGACAGCCCUACCUGCUAGUUUUUCUUCUUCCUUUUUCUCCCCUUCGUCGUUCGUUGUGGAUCGUGGCUGGCGGGGCUGGUGCCGAUCUUUGGACUUUAACAUGUCUAUAGAGCUGAAACUUUCUCGAUCAAACCGUAUCUAUUGCCCCAAUGAACCAAUUGAUGGUAAAAUUAUCACAAAAUUUCCAUCUUCAAUUUCUCACCAAGGAAUCCGAAUCACUACCACUGGAACCGUCAACUUGCAGGUUCGUGGUGGGUCGGCAGGAGUUAUCGAGUCCUUGUAUGGAGUUGUUAAACCCAUACCAAUCAUAAGCAAGACUUUGGAUAUCAGAUCUUCUGGGAGGAUUAGUUCAGGAACAACCGAGAUACCUUUCUCUGUAACAUUGAGACCACGAGGACAUGAUGGUUCUGAAAUAUUUUAUGAGACCUUCCAUGGAGCAAACAUCAGCAUCCAGUAUUUGAUAACAGCAGACCUUGUGAGAGGGUAUCUACAUAAAUCAUUGUCUGCUACUAUGGAGUUCAUUGUUGAAAGUGAUAAAGCUAAUCUUCUUCAGGCACCAGACUCUCCUGAAAUGGUUAGCUUUUAUAUCACACGGGACACACAAAGACAUCCGCUGCUUCCUGAACUAUCUUCAGGUGAGUUUCGAGUCACGGGAAAAAUCUGUACUCAAUCCUCUCUUCUCGAUCCUAUCAAUGGGGAGGUGACGGUAGAAUCAUCCACAGUUCCUAUAAACUCUAUCGAUAUUCAUCUACUCCGAAUAGAGUCAAUUCUGGUUGGGGAAAAGAUUGUGACUGAGACCUCGGUGAUUCAAACUACACAGAUAGCUGAUGGUGAUGUUUGUCGAGGAAUGACUUUACCCAUAUAUGUCAUUCUUCCUCGCCUUUUGACUUGUCCGACCAUCUUUGCAGGGAGUGGUGCCAAGGACCUGAUAGCUCAUGCACCAUCGUUUUCCAAAGAAAUCCAUGACAAGUUCUGUAUGGUAAGUGAUAACUAUAAGGAAUGCAGCUUCAGCCAUAUUGCUUGGUAAGAAAAGCGGAUGAGGAGUUUUGGAGCAUUAACUACCAAAAAAACUAGAAAGCGUAAAUUAAUGAGUAAAUUGUUGUUAUCUUGCUUUUUACAAGUUUGUUUCUAUAUGAUUACAUGUACUCCCACCACUGUAGUUUGUGCAUGAAUUUUAUUGACCAGCUAGAGUAUAUGUUUCCUCUGACUGACCUGUGAACCACUUCCUUUCUCUGAGCAGUUCCUGGUUAUGCCAAGUGUAAAUUUUUUUUUUGUUAAUCAGCCAUUUGAUAGUCUGACAUGGAAAAACAAAUUAAUCAAGUUAUGGAAACCUAUUGUUUGGCAAUUUCAGGCCAUUUUCAAUUGAAUUUCAGUUUUCUGUUGUGAUUAGCUUCCAGUCAGAGUUAUCGAAACUUCAACCGAAGGCUGAUCCUCGAACUCCCAGGCUUUGG
This is an RNA transcript of Papaver somniferum (opium poppy), 1453 nucleotides long. It is a transcript of the gene named Down syndrome critical region protein 3 homolog, with no coding region annotated. The record is from RefSeq and is a predicted model, not a curated record. The transcript has 10 exons. Lineage: Eukaryota; Viridiplantae; Streptophyta; Magnoliopsida; Ranunculales; Papaveraceae.